This 498-nucleotide ribosomal RNA is filed under the name uncultured bacterium. RNAcentral describes it as "partial 16S ribosomal RNA". It matches the Rfam family "Bacterial small subunit ribosomal RNA", at positions 27 to 507 of the family's 1533-position model. The record is from RNAcentral.
GGAUGAACGCUGGCGGCGUGCCUAAUACAUGCAAGUCGAGCGAACGGGCGAGAAGCUUGCUUCUCUGAUGUUAGCGGCGGACGGGUGAGUAACACGUGGAUAACCUACCUAUAAGACUGGGAUAACUUCGGGAAACCGUAGCUAAUACCGGAUAAUAUUUUGAACCGCAUGGUUCAAAAGUGAAAGACGGUCUUGCUGUCACUUAUAGAUGGAUCCGCGCUGCAUUAGCUAGUUGGUAAGGUAACGGCUUACCAAGGCAACGAUGCAUAGCCGACCUGAGAGGGUGAUCGGCCACACUGGAACUGAGACACGGUCCAGACUCCUACGGGAGGCAGCAGUAGGGAAUCUUCCGCAAUGGGCGAAAGCCUGACGGAGCAACGCCGCGUGAGUGAUGAAGGUCUUCGGAUCGUAAAACUCUGUUAUUAGGGAAGAACAUAUGUGUAAGUAACUGUGCACAUCUUGACGGUACCUAAUCAGAAAGCCACGGCUAACUACGUG